AUUGAACGCUGGCGGCAUGCCUAACACAUGCAAGUCGAACGGUAACAGGCCCUUCGGGGCGCUGACGAGUGGCGGACGGGUGAGUAAUACUUAGGAAUCUACCCUGUAGUGGGGGACGAACCCGAGGAAACUCGGGCGUAAUACCGCAUACGCUCUACGGAGGAAAGCGGGGGACCGGCAAGGCCUCGCGCUAUUGGAUGAGCCUAAGCCCGAUUAGCUAGUUGGUGGGGUAAUGGCCUACCAAGGCAAUGAUCGGUAGCUGGUCUGAGAGGACGACCAGCCACACUGGGACUGAGACACGGCCCAGACUCCUACGGGAGGCAGCAGUGGGGAAUAUUGGACAAUGGGCGAAAGCCUGAUCCAGCGAUGCCGCGUGUGUGAAGAAGGCCUGC
Molecule: ribosomal RNA, 392 nt
Filed under: uncultured bacterium
Lineage: Bacteria
Description: bacterial SSU rRNA
Rfam family: Bacterial small subunit ribosomal RNA
Source: RNAcentral